This 520-nucleotide ribosomal RNA is filed under the name uncultured Glomus. RNAcentral's name for it is "SSU rRNA". It matches the Rfam family "Eukaryotic small subunit ribosomal RNA", at positions 569 to 1091 of the family's 1831-position model. Lineage: Eukaryota; Fungi; Glomeromycota; Glomeromycetes; Glomerales; Glomeraceae. The record is from RNAcentral.
AGCAGCCGCGGUAAUUCCAACUCCAAUAGCGUAUAUUAAAGUUGCUGCAGUUAAAAAGCUCGUAGUUGAAUUUCGGGAUCAAUAUGUUGGUCGUGCCUCGGUACGUACUAGCUUAUUGGUUUCUUCCUUCUGACGAACCAUAAUGUCAUUUAUUUGGUGUUAUGGGGAAUCAGGACUGUUACUUUGAAAAAAUUAGAGUGUUUAAAGCAGGCUCACGCUUGAAUACAUUAGCAUGGAAUAAUGAAAUAGGACGUUUGAUUCUAUUUUGUUGGUUUCUAGGAUCGACGUAAUGAUUAAUAGGGAUAGUUGGGGGCAUUAGUAUUCAAUUGUCAGAGGUGAAAUUCUUGGAUUUAUUGAAGACUAACUACUGCGAAAGCAUUUGCCAAGGAUGUUUUCAUUAAUCAAGAACGAAAGUUAGGGGGAUCGAAGACGAUCAGAUACCGUCGUAGUCUUAACCAUAAACUAUGCCGACUAGGGAUCGGAUGAUGUUAAUUUUUUAAUGACUCAUUCGGCGCCUUUA